This 830-nucleotide unclassified non-coding RNA is filed under the name Bradyrhizobium sp. CCBAU 25360. RNAcentral's name for it is "partial contains 16S-23S ribosomal RNA intergenic spacer and 23S ribosomal RNA". The stretch from base 152 to 225 matches the Rfam family "tRNA". The record is from RNAcentral. Lineage: Bacteria; Pseudomonadati; Pseudomonadota; Alphaproteobacteria; Hyphomicrobiales; Nitrobacteraceae.
CGUUUUAGAAACAUCAGUGGCCAACAAUCGUCAGGAUUGUUGAGCUGCAUUGGCGGGAUUUCGCCGUCUUCGUUUCUCUUUCUUCGCGGACGAACACGCGCUGGGGCUGCAAGUUUGCAGAGUCCCUGGUCCUUGACUGGAUAUGCGUUAGGGGCUUGUAGCUCAGUUGGUUAGAGCGCGCGCUUGAUAAGCGUGAGGUCGGAAGUUCAAGUCUUCCCAGGCCCACCACUUUCAUCGAGUGAGCAUUCGUCUUCUGGUUACGGGGCCAUAGCUCAGCUGGGAGAGCGCGUGCUUUGCAAGCAUGAGGUCGUCGGUUCGAUCCCGUCUGGCUCCACCAGAUGGUUUGAUCAUCGACUGAUCGUGCACCUAAAUCGUCCGCGAAACAUCACUUCGCAUCUUGCUAGUCUGGAUAGACAGCAAGUUGCGUGAUUUCUGACAUCGUAAAGAGGAGAUCGAUCCGAGUUGGAUCGUGCAGCAAGCAAUUGCUACGCGAGACUUCAUUAUCUCCGGAUCAUUUCGGCGCUCGUGCGUCUUUCAAGGGCAGCUCACAAGGCUGCUUCUGGAGAGACAAGCGAGUUGUAAAUGAUCCUUUUAGCGAAGCUUGACCGCCUCGCUAUCGGAACGAUCUUACGAAGCAAGCUGGUCUUUCUAAUCAUUGUCCGGCUGCAGAUAGCGUUCAUCGAGGGCGCGUGCCGCAAGGUAAUUCUGCAGACAACAUUCUGCCGAGUGUGUGGACAUUGAUAAUGAGAGCAAUCAAGUGCCUUAAGGGUGUUCGGUGGAUGCCUUGGCGCUGAGAGGCGAUGAAGGACGUGCUACGCUGCGAUAAGCCG